AAGCUCAAAUUUGAAAUCCUGCGGGAAUUGUAAUUUGAAGGUUUCGUGGUCUGAGUCGGCCGCGCCCAAGUCCAUUGGAACAUGGCGCCUGGGAGGGUGAGAGCCCCGUAUGGCGCACGCCGACUCUUUGUACACCGCGGCUCCGACGAGUCGAGUUGUUUGGGAAUGCAGCUCUAAGUGGGUGGUAAAUUCCAUCUAAAGCUAAAUAUUGGCGAGAGACCGAUAGCGAACAAGUACAGUGAUGGAAAGAUGAAAAGCACUUUGAAAAGAGAGUGAAACAGCACGUGAAAUUGUUGAAAGGGAAGGGCUUGCAAGCAGACACGGUUUUACCGGGCCAGCGUCGAAAAGGGGGGAGGAACAAGAACUCGAGAAUGUGGCGCGCACCUUCGGGCGCGCGUGUUAUAGCUCGUGUUGACGCCUCCAUCCCUUUUCGAGGCCUGCGAUUCUAGGACGCUGGCGUAAUGGUUGCAAGCCGCCCGUCUUGAAACACGGACCAAGGAGUCUAACGUCUAUGCGAGUGUUUGGGUGCAAAACCCCAGCGCGGAAUGAAAGUAAGAGGUUGGAGCCGCAAGGCGCACAAUCGACCGACCCUGAAGUGCUCGGACGGGUUUGAGUAGGAGCAUAGCUGUUGGGACCCGAAAGAUGGUGAACUAUGCCUGGAUAGGGUGAAGCCAGAGGAAACUCUGGUGGAGGCUCGCAGCGGUUCUGACGUGCAAAUCGAUCGUCGAAUCUGGGUAUA
This 739-nucleotide ribosomal RNA is filed under the name Clavispora lusitaniae. RNAcentral's name for it is "LSU rRNA". It matches the Rfam family "Eukaryotic large subunit ribosomal RNA", at positions 104 to 919 of the family's 3401-position model. Lineage: Eukaryota; Fungi; Ascomycota; Pichiomycetes; Serinales; Metschnikowiaceae. The record is from RNAcentral.